GAUGAACGCUGGCGGCGUGCCUAAUACAUGCAAGUCGAGCGAACGGACGAGAAGCUUGCUUCUCUGAUGUUAGCGGCGGACGGGUGAGUAACACGUGGAUAACCUACCUACAAGACUGGGAUAACUUCGGGAAACCGUAGCUAAUACCGGAUAAUAUUUUGAACCGCAUGGUUCAAAAGUGAAAGACGGUCUUGCUGUCACUUAUAGAUGGAUCCGCGCUGCAUUAGCUAGUUGGUAAGGUAACGGCUUACCAAGGCAACGAUGCAUAGCCGACCUGAGAGGGUGAUCGGCCACACUGGAACUGAGACACGGUCCAGACUCCUACGGGAGGCAGCAGUAGGGAAUCUUCCGCAAUGGGCGAAAGCCUGACGGAGCAACGCCGCGUGAGUGAUGAAGGUCUUCGGAUCGUAAAACUCUGUUAUUAGGGAAGAACAUAUGUGUAAGCAACUGUGCACAUCUUGACGGUACCUAAUCAGAAAGCCACGGCUAACUACGUG
Molecule: ribosomal RNA, 497 nt
Filed under: uncultured bacterium
Lineage: Bacteria
Description: partial 16S ribosomal RNA
Rfam family: Bacterial small subunit ribosomal RNA
Source: RNAcentral